Molecule: ribosomal RNA, 738 nt
Filed under: Plasmopara obducens
Lineage: Eukaryota; Oomycota; Peronosporomycetes; Peronosporales; Peronosporaceae
Description: LSU rRNA
Rfam family: Eukaryotic large subunit ribosomal RNA
Source: RNAcentral
CUAACAAGGAUUCCCCUAGUAACGGCGAGUGAAGCGGGAUGAGCUCAAGCUUAAAAUCUCCGUGCAAUUUUUGCACGGCGAAUUGUAGUCUAUAGAGGCGUGGUCAGUAUAAGCACUUGGGGUAAGUUCCUUGGAAAAGGACAGCAUGGAGGGUGAUACUCCCGUUCAUCUCUAAGUUGCUUGUGCGUACGACCCGUUUUCUUUGAGUCGCGUUGUUUGAGAAUGCAGCGCAAAGUAGGUGGUAAAUUCCAUCUAAAGCUAAAUAUUGGUGCGAGACCGAUAGCAAACAAGUACCGUGAGGGAAAGAUGAAAAGAACUUUGAAAAUAGAGUUAAAGAGUACCUGAAACUGCUGAAAGGGAACCAAAUCGUUUCCAGUGUCUAUAAUCCGUGGUAUAUUUCAUUGGCGAGUGUGUGCGUGCGUGUGCUGUUGCAGUGGCUUUUUGGCUGCGCUCGGUGUGUGUGCUGUGUGUACUUGCUGGUGCCCUGUGCUGCGGUGGGACGUCAAGGUCAGUUCGUAUGCUGCGGGAAAUGGCUACUGAGGAGGUAGGGCUUACGCUUGCGUUUGUCUGUUAUAUCUUGGUGGACGAGUCGUCGCGGUUGGGACUGAGGUGCCUACAACGUGCUUUUGAGUGGGCUUGGGUCUCCGUGUGCGCCGUGUGCGGAUAGCUUGCUAUGCGUGUGUGGUUGUAUGUGGAUUGAUGCGAGCCGUAACUUGUAGUCGUUCGGGACGUGACGAA